Molecule: non-coding RNA, 70 nt
Organism: Podarcis lilfordi (Lilford's wall lizard)
Lineage: Eukaryota; Metazoa; Chordata; Lepidosauria; Squamata; Lacertidae
Source: the annotation of a GenBank genome assembly
UCAUCAGCUCAGUUGGAGCAUGAGACUCUUAAUCUCAGGGUUGUGGGUUCAAGCCCCAUGUUGGGCAAAA